RNAcentral lists this ribosomal RNA (253 nucleotides) under uncultured bacterium. RNAcentral describes it as "partial 16S ribosomal RNA". It matches the Rfam family "Bacterial small subunit ribosomal RNA", at positions 524 to 776 of the family's 1533-position model. The record is from RNAcentral.
UACGUAGGGUGCGAGCGUUGUCCGGAAUUAUUGGGCGUAAAGGGCUCGUAGGCGGUCUGUCGCGUCGGGAGUGAAAACUCAGGGCUUAACCCUGAGCCUGCUUCCGAUACGGGCAGACUAGAGGUAUGCAGGGGAGAACGGAAUUCCUGGUGUAGCGGUGAAAUGCGCAGAUAUCAGGAGGAACACCGGUGGCGAAGGCGGUUCUCUGGGCAUUACCUGACGCUGAGGAGCGAAAGUGUGGGGAGCGAGCAGG